RNAcentral lists this ribosomal RNA (377 nucleotides) under uncultured bacterium. Its description in RNAcentral is "bacterial SSU rRNA". It matches the Rfam family "Bacterial small subunit ribosomal RNA", at positions 521 to 896 of the family's 1533-position model. The record is from RNAcentral.
UAAUACAGAGGUCCCGAGCGUUGUUCGGAUUCACUGGGCGUAAAGGGUGCGUAGGUGGCUUGAAAAGUUUGAUGUGAAAGCUCAGGGCUUAACCCUGAAAUGGCAUUGAAUACUGUCGAGCUGGAGGUUUGGAGGGGGGACUGGAAUUCUUGGUGUAGCAGUGAAAUGCGUAGAUAUCAAGAGGAACACCAGUGGCGAAGGCGAGUCCCUGGACAACACCUGACACUGAGGCACGAAAGCUAGGGGAGCAAACAGGAUUAGAUACCCUGGUAGUCCUAGCCCUAAACGGUGCACGUUUGCUGUAAAAGGAAUCGACCCCUUUUGUGGCGAAGCUAACGCGAUAAACGUGCCGCCUGGGGAGUACGGUCGCAAGAUUA